This 292-nucleotide ribosomal RNA is filed under the name uncultured bacterium. Its description in RNAcentral is "partial 16S ribosomal RNA". The record is from RNAcentral.
GGACUACACGGGUUUCUAAUCCUGUUUGCUCCCCACGCUUUCGUGCCUGAACGUCGGUACUGGACCAGGAAGCCGCCUUCGCCACUGAUGUUCCUUCAGAUAUCUACGCAUUUCACUGCUACACCUGAAAUUCCGCUUCCCUCUUCCGUACCCUAGCUAUUCAGUCUCGAAUGCAAUUCCCAGGUUGAGCCCGGGGAUUUCACAUCCGACUUAGAUAACCGUCUGCGCACGCUUUACGCCCAGUAAUUCCGAUUAACGCUUGCACCCUCUGUAUUACCGCGGCUGCUGGCAC